RNAcentral lists this ribosomal RNA (173 nucleotides) under bacterium st9. RNAcentral's name for it is "partial 16S ribosomal RNA". It matches the Rfam family "Bacterial small subunit ribosomal RNA", at positions 38 to 209 of the family's 1533-position model. The record is from RNAcentral.
CUUGGGCGGCGUGCUUAACACAUGCAAGUCGAGCGGUAAGGCCCUUCGGGGUACACGAGCGGCCAACGGGUGAGUAACACGUGGGUGAUCUGCCCUGCACUUCGGGAUAAGCCCGGGAAACUGGGUCUAAUACCGGAUACGACCUUCGGCUGCAUGGCUGGGGGUGGAAAGGU